GCACGGCUCAUGCAUUUUGACUGAGUGCUGUAUACCAACGAGCUUGAUUGCUCUUUUCGUUCCCUAAUAGAUCACCAACCGGAACCAUUUGAACAGUUCUGAUAUUCUGACCUUCACCCCGAAUUUCCAUUGCAUCCCAUCCCAAAAGGUUAUGACACGCUGAUGCCGCUUGACAUCUCCUUGUCUCCAUCCCUCAUACAUGCAUCUCCCCAUAUUGUUUCUAUCAGCCAAAGAUACUAUGUGGC
Molecule: long non-coding RNA, 245 nt
Filed under: Setaria italica (foxtail millet)
Lineage: Eukaryota; Viridiplantae; Streptophyta; Magnoliopsida; Poales; Poaceae
Description: long non-coding RNA (SITA_LNC002028)
Source: RNAcentral